CAGUCGAACGGGAUCUUCGGAUUCUAGUGGCGGACGGGUGAGUAACGCGUAAGAAUCUAACUUCAGGACGGGGACAACAGUUGGAAACGACUGCUAAUACCCGAUAUGCCGCGAGGUGAAACCUAAUUGGCCUGAAGAAGAGCUUGCGUCUGAUUAGCUAGUUGGUGGGGUAAGAGCCUACCAAGGCGACGAUCAGUAGCUGGUCUGAGAGGAUGAGCAGCCACACUGGGACUGAGACACGGCCCAGACUCCUACGGGAGGCAGCAGUGGGGAAUUUUCCGCAAUGGGCGAAAGCCUGACGGAGCAACGCCGCGUGAGGGAGGAAGGUCUUUGGAUUGUAAACCUCUUUUCUCAAGGAAGAAGUUCUGACGGUACUUGAGGAAUCAGCCUCGGCUAACUCCGUGCCAGCAGCCGCGGUAAUACGGGGGAGGCAAGCGUUAUCCGGAAUUAUUGGGCGUAAAGCGUCCGCAGGUGGUCAGCCAAGUCUGCUGUCAAAUCAGGUUGCUUAACGACCUAAAGGCGGUGGAAACUGGCAGACUAGAGAGCAGUAGGGGUAGCAGGAAUUCCCAGUGUAGCGGUGAAACGCGUAGAGAUUGGGAAGAACAUCGGUGGCGAAAGCGUGCUACUGGGCUGUAUCUGACACUCAGGGACGAAAGCUAGGGGAGCGAAAGGGAUUAGAUACCCCUGUAGUCCUAGCCGUAAACGAUGGAUACUAGGCGUGGCUUGUAUCGACCCGAGCCGCGCCGAAGCUAACGCGUUAAGUAUCCCGCCUGGGGAGUACGCACGCAAGUGUGAAACUCAAAGGAAUUGACGG
RNAcentral lists this ribosomal RNA (814 nucleotides) under uncultured bacterium. RNAcentral's name for it is "bacterial SSU rRNA". It matches the Rfam family "Bacterial small subunit ribosomal RNA", at positions 59 to 916 of the family's 1533-position model. The record is from RNAcentral.